Long non-coding RNA from Apis dorsata (giant honeybee), 273 nucleotides. RefSeq lists it as uncharacterized. The transcript has 2 exons. The record is from RefSeq and is a predicted model, not a curated record. Lineage: Eukaryota; Metazoa; Arthropoda; Insecta; Hymenoptera; Apidae.
AAAUAGCUAAUUUUAUACGUCAAAAUAUAACAUAAUAUGAUCAUAUACGUCAAAGUGCGUAUCACAUACAAAAUUGGAUAAACGUUCUCGUUAAAACGUUCCCUUACCAGAUGAAAACACUAUGCUCAAUGACAGUGAAUAAUGGAGUCGAUGUUAAGUCGGAAAAAAACUUUCAGCUUCGAGUUAGUUUAUUAUAAUGCACACAAUAUCACGCAUCGUAACAUGACAUUUUGCAACAAGAGACGGGAUUUACUGCUAUGAUGUCUUCUGUUU